Molecule: unclassified non-coding RNA, 255 nt
Filed under: uncultured bacterium
Lineage: Bacteria
Description: contains 16S-23S intergenic spacer region
Source: RNAcentral
CAGUAUUCUCCCCCAGCUGUGUCUUAGCUGGUCCCACUAUCCGCGCAGAAGACGUGUUCGAAGCCUUCCAUGUAACCUUCAUAUUCGUCGCAGUAGAUGGUGUCUAUACCACCGCCUGCGAAGGCAAAAUCAUAAGCGUUGUCGAAGCUAAAGACUUCAUCAUCGCCGCCCAGGGCAAAGAUGAUGUCGCUACCAUCGCCGCCGAUCAGUUGAUCGUCAAACUCGCUGCCGAAGAUCGUAUCGUCUCCGUGGCCG